GUGCAGCAGGCGAGAAAACUUUACACUGCGGGAAACCGCGAUAAGGGGACCCCGAGUGCCAGCACCUAGUGCUGGCUGUCCUACUGUCUAAAUAACAGUGGUUAGCAAGGGCCGGGCAAGACCGGUGCCAGCCGCCGCGGUAACACCGGCGGCCCGAGUGGUAACCGUUUUUAUUGGGUUUAAAGGGUCCGUAGCCGGCUUACUAAGUCUCUUGGGAAAUCUGGCGGCUCAAUCGUCAGGCGGCCAAGAGAUACUGGUAGGCUUGGGAUCGGGAGAGGUGGGAGGUACUCCAGGGGUAGGGGUGAAAUCUCGUAAUCCUUGGGGGACCACCGAUGGCGAAGGCAUCCCACCAGAACGGGUUCGACGGUGAGGGACGAAAGCUGGGGGCACGAACCGGAUUAGAUACCCGGGUAGUCCCAGCUGUAAACGAUGCUCGCUAGGUGUCAGGUGCGGUGCGACCGCAUCUGGUGCCGCAGUGAAACCUUGAAGCGAGUCACCUGGGAAGUACGGUCGCAAGGCUGAAACCUAAAGGAAUUGGCGGGGGAGCAC
RNAcentral lists this ribosomal RNA (549 nucleotides) under uncultured bacterium. Its description in RNAcentral is "bacterial SSU rRNA". It matches the Rfam family "Archaeal small subunit ribosomal RNA", at positions 330 to 879 of the family's 1478-position model. The record is from RNAcentral.